This 406-nucleotide ribosomal RNA is filed under the name uncultured bacterium. RNAcentral's name for it is "partial 16S ribosomal RNA". It matches the Rfam family "Bacterial small subunit ribosomal RNA", at positions 30 to 526 of the family's 1533-position model. The record is from RNAcentral.
AUUGAACGCUGGCGGCAGGCCUCACACAUGCAAGUCGCACGAGUGGCGGACGGGUGAGUACUGUCUGGGAAACUGCCCGAUGGAGGGGGAUAACUACUGGAAACGGUAGCUAAUACCGCAUACCAUCGGAUGUGCCCAGAUGGGAUUAGCUUGUCGGUGAGGUAACGGCUCACCUAGGCGACGAUCCCUAGCUGGUCUGAGAGGAUGACCAGCCACACGUGAACUGAGACACGGUCCAGACUCCUACGGGAGGCAGCAGUGGUGAAUAGUGGACAGUGGGGGAGAGCCUGAUCCAGCCGUGCCGCGUGUGUGAAGAAGUUCUUCGGAUUGUAAAGCACUUUAAGUUGGGAGGCGUUACCAACAGAAUAAGCACCGGCUAACUUCGUGCCAGCCGCCGCGGUAAUAC